CGGUUGAUCCUGCCGGACCACACUGUUAUCGGGAUAGGACUAAGACAUGCUAGUCGCGCGCCUCCCAAGCAUACUUUACGUUGGAGGCGCGGCGCACAGCUCAGUAACACGUGGCUAACCUGCCCUUGGGACGGGGAUACCCCCGGGAAACUGGGGCUAAUCCCCGAUAGGUGAAGAACUCUGGAAUGAGUCUUCGCCCAAAAGGCGCUUUAAGCAUGCUUUUAGGCGCCGCCCAAGGAUGGGGCCGCGUCCGAUCAGGUAGUUGGUGAGGCAACGGCUCACCAAGCCUUUAACCGGUGCGGGCCGUGGGAGCGGGAGCCCGGAGAUGGGCACUGAGACAAGGGCCCAGGCCCUACGGGGCGCAGCAGUCGCGAAAACUUUGCAAUACACGAAAGUGUGACAGGGCUAUCCCGAGUGCCAUCCGCUGAGGAUGGCUUUUACCCAGUCUAGAAAGCUGGGAGAAUAAGGAGAGGGCAAGUCUGGUGUCAGCCGCCGCGGUAAUACCAGCUCUCCGAGUGGUGUGGAUGUUUAUUGGGCCUAAAGCAUCCGUAGCUGGCUGAGUUAGUCCCCUGUUAAAUCCAGCGAAUUAAUCGUUGGAGUGCGGGGGAUACUGCUCGGCUAGGGGACGGGAGAGGCCGACGGUAUUUUCGGGGUAGGGGUGAAAUCCUAUAAUCCCGGGAAGACCACCAGUGGCGAAGGCUGUCGGCUAGAACGUGCCCGACGGUGAGGGAUGAAAGCUGGGGGAGCGAACCGGAUUAGAUACCCGGGUAGUCCCAGCUGUAAACGAUGCAGGCUAGGUGUUAGGGCGGCCACGUGCCGCUCUAGUGCCGCAGGGAAGCCGUUAAGCCUGCCGCCUGGGGAGUACGGCCGCAAGGCUGAAACUUAAAGGAAUUGGCGGGGGAGCAC
RNAcentral lists this ribosomal RNA (906 nucleotides) under uncultured archaeon. Its description in RNAcentral is "bacterial SSU rRNA". It matches the Rfam family "Archaeal small subunit ribosomal RNA", at positions 5 to 879 of the family's 1478-position model. The record is from RNAcentral.